UUUUUUGUUUUUUUGGUUUUUUUUUUUUUUUGUCUUUUCAGGGCUGAACCAGCAGCAUAUGGAGGUUCCCAGUCUAGGGGUCCAAUCGGAGCUGUAGCCACUGGCCUAUGCCACGGCCACAGCAACUCGGGAUCCGAGCCUUGUCUGCAACCUACACUGCAGCUCAUGGCAACGCCAGAUCCUUAAUCCACUGAGCGAGGCCAGGGAUCAAACCUGCGUCCUCAUGAAUGCUAGUCAGACUGGUUUCUGCUGAGCCAUAACGGGAACUCCCUCAUAGCAUUUUCUAAUAAGCAAGGAACUGUAGGAAUUCAUAACACAGUACCUGUGACCUGCAAGUUAAGAAGCAAAAAGCAUUAUCUUGUAGGUAAAAAUGUGAUGACAUCAUCUAUGGUGAUGGUUUGUUUCAACCUUGUCACUGGCCCACUCCUAACCUCAGGCCUCUAGCUCCUAUUUUUCCCACAGAGUCUUUUUUUUUUUUUUCUUUUUCUGUUUUUCUCAAGGCCACAUCCAUGACAUAUGGAAAUUCCCAGGCUAGGGGUCCCCUACGCCACACCCACAGCAAAUUGGGACCUGAGCUGCGUCUUCGGUCUACACCACAGCUCACAGCAACGCCAGAUCCUUAACCCACAGACAAAAGCCAAGGAUUGAGCCAGCAUCCUCAUGGAUCUUAACCUGUAUCCUUGGGUUCUUAACCUGCUGAGCCACAAGGGAACUCCUAAUCUUAGGUUUUUGAAUCCAAAUGAACCUCCCACAUUUGGGGAAAGGAUACUGUGUACACACCACACUGGGAAAUCCACUGCCCUGAGAUAUCUCCAGUUCAGACCUCUCUCCUAAACCCCAUCCUAACCACCUCCCAGUAGCCCCACUUGACUCUCCAUCAAAGGUGGAAAACUUCCAUAUGUCCACACCAACCCCUGCCCAGUCCUACCGGCCCUGCUCCACCCACAGCAGCUUUCCCACUGAUUGUCAAAAGCAACACCAUUCACCUGCCUGUACCUCCCGCAAUCACCCUCCCCUCACUCCUCACCGCCCACAUGGGAACCACCAAGAAAUCCCGAGGCUCCAGGUUCAAAAUCCACCCAGAGUCCUCCCCCUGCUCCCAACUGGAAACAAGCCUCAGGAGAGCCAGUGCGAGGGUGUCCCUGCUCCCUCCUUGCCUGGCCACCAUCAGUCUCAACUCAGCAGCCAGAGUGGUCCUCUUAAAAUGAAAAGCAGCAAGUUAGAGCCUCUGCUCAAUGCCCUGCAAUGAUCCCCUGGUGGCUACUUGCAAAGAGGCAAGUCCUUUGACAGCCUCUGCUCCAGCCCCUGGCCUCCCCUUUCCUCCUACCCUGCUCCAACUCUCCAGGCUCUACGCACUGGCUGUUCCCUCUACCUGGAGGGCCCAGGGCCGACCCCUGCCCCCUUUAAGUCUGCUCAAAGGGCACAAUCCAAAGAAGGGAAGAGUCUGACCUGAUGAUUCCUUAAAAUCUAGGAGUUUAAGAAACAGAUCAUGGCCAGAGAGAACAGGCUAAUGGUUGCCAAGGGGGAGUGGGGACGGAGUGGGAUGGACGUGGAGUUUGGGGUCGGUAGAUGCAAACUAUUACAUUUGGAGUGGAUAAGCAAUGAGGUCCUACUGUACAGUGGAGGGAACUACCCAACCUCUUGGGCUAGAAUAUGAUGGAAGAUAGUAUGGGAAAAAGAAUGUGUGGGUCACUAUGCUGAGCAGAAAUUGACACGACACUGUAAAUCAUCAAUAGUCUAAUAAUAUAUAUAUAUAAUCAAAUCAAAUCUAGGAGUGUAGGAUUAACAUACACACACUGCAAUAUACAAAAUGAAUAACCAACAAGGACCUACAGUAAAGCACAGGGAACUAUACUCAACAUUUUGUAAUGACAUAUCAGGGGAAAGAAUCCGACAACUGUCUAUAUAUAUAUAUAUUUAUACAUUCAUUGCUUUUUGCUUUUUUAGGGCCAUACCAGCAGCAUAUGGAAGUUCUCAGGCUAGGGGUCAUAUCGGAGCUGCAGCUGCUGGCCUACAUCACAGCCACAGCAACACGGGAUCGGAGCUGCAUCUGGGAACUAUACUGCAGCUUGCAGCAACCCAUCAAGCGAGGCCCUAGAAAAGGAAAAAAGACAAAAAAAAAAAAAAUGGCAUUGAUAAACUCCCUGAGCUGGAACAUCACACACCUGGAGCAGUGCAAGAAGAGGCGGAGGGAGAAAGGGCCACCCCAAGAUGCUGCUCUGUCUUAUGGGUGAGGGGAGAUGGGACAGAAGUUUCUGGGAAGAAAUCUUUGCCUUGGUGCAGGCAGCCCAAGGCGAUGGAGGGAAGAGGCCUCACAAUCAAGGGCCUUGAUCAGAAGGGCUCUGGGAAACUGAGAAAAGGCACAGUUUGCUGAAAGAGGAGAAAAGGGCCCGGAGAGCUGGUGCAAAGCUCCUGGGGAGCUGGUGACCGAGGAGGCAGUUUCUGAACACCCAGAGUGAUCCACAAAGCAUAUGCCCAAAUCCCCUCAGGUCCAAGCCACCAUCAGGUACCUUACAGGGGUCACAGAGAAUGGCUGUCUCUCCAGUGAGGAGAUGGGGUAGAAAGAAGAGAGCCCUUCCAGUCCAGGUGGGAAAUGCUGAGGGGCUGAAGAAGGUGUUUGCAGUCAAGAUGCAGUUUAGGGCACAAGAAAUUAAGAUCCCCUUGAGGAACCUCAGCCCAAGGUGAUGCAGCCAAGAAAGGCCUGGGUGACCAGAGAGGGAUAACCACAGCAGAGGGAGCCAUCAUGGUUCUAGGCUGCAAACAACAGAAAACCACUGAGUCAGAAUCCUAACCAGUGCUCACAGAACUGACAGGGAGAACCUGGCUGGAAAAGUGGGCAAGAACCAAAGGAAGUAUGUGGCCAGAACCAAAGGAAGUAUGUGCCAAGGCCUGCACAGGAGCAGUUAGGGCAGCCGAGCACCAACACCUGAGUUAGCGCUCACCUGUGCCCUGGCCAGAGGCUCACUGGUUAAGCUCCAGUGGGACCCAUGCCCAGGGCCCCAGCCUCUCACUGUUAUUUAACUACUUUGGUAAAUGAGACGUAAAGUAUAAACCUCUUGGAAGUAUCUGUAUUCAGAAAGAAGAGGCAUUACUACUCACAACAGUCAUAGAAACAACCUAAAUGACUAUCAAUAGAGGAACAAAGAAGAUGUGAGAGUUCCUGCCGUGGCACAGCAGAAACAAAUCCAACGGGGAACCAUGAGGUUGCAGGUUCGAUCCCUGGCCUCGACCAGUGGGGUGAAGAUCCAGCAUUGCCAUGAGCUGUGGUGUAGACUGCAGACAAGGCUCAGAUCUGGUAUUGCUGCAGCUGUGGCAUAGGCUGGCAGCUGUAGCUCCAAUUAGACCCCUAGCCUAGGAAACUCCAUAUGCCACAGUACAGCCCUAAAAAAAAAAAAAAAGAUGUGAUACAUAUAUGCAAUGGAGUAUUACUCGGCCUUAAAAAAGAACAAAAUAAUGCCAUUUGCAGCAAUGUGGGUAGACCUAGAAUAAGCAAGUCAGAGAAAGACAAAUACAAUAUAAUAUCAUUUAUAUAUGGAAGCUAAAAUAUUACACAAAUGAGAGUUCCUAUUGUGGCUUAGUAGAUUAAGAACACCACAUGGUAUCUGUGAGGAUGUAGGUUCAAUCCCUAGACUUGCAUAGUAGGUUAAGGAUCCAGCAUUGCCACCAGCAACAUAGGUUGCAGAUGUGGCUCGGAUCCGGUGUUGGUGUUGCUGUGGCUGUGGCGCAAGCCUGCAGCUGUGGCUCCAAUUUGACCCCUAGCCUGGGAACUUUCAUUACGCUGCAAGCAUGGCCACAAAAAAAUUAAAUAUGACACAAAUGAAUUUAUUUUAAAAACAAACGGACUCACGCACAUAGAGAACAGACUUGUGGUUGCCAAGAAGUGGGGGUGGGAGAGGGUUGGAGUGAGAGUUUGGGAUGAGCAGAUGCAAAUUAUUAUAUACAGAAUGGAUAAACAACAAGGUCCUACAGUAGAGCACAGGGAACUAUCAUCAAUAUCCUGUGAUAAACUAUCAUGGAAAAGAAUAUGAAAAGAAUAUACAAAUAUAAUAUGUGUGUAUAAAUGAAUCACUUUGCUGUAUAGCAGAAAUUAACACAAUAUUGUACAUCAACUGUAAUUCAAUAAAACACAUUAAAAAGAAAAGAAGAGGCAUUAACUCUGGCAGAACUGCCAGUCCUGUGUGUGUGUGGACUGUGUGUGUGCAUACGUGCAGGGUGGGAGGUAGGGAGAGAAAUCUGUGUUUGACCUUCCUGGGUGCUUCUCCAAGCUAAAGAGCACCUACCACUGUCCCUGCGCAUGAAACCUCAACUCAGGGUGGGCUGAUCCAGCCCGCCCAUCCCUUGUUCCCUCCAAGCAUUUUACCCACCUGCCCACCUCCAUCCUGCCCAUCUUCAUGGGCUCAGCUCUGCCCCAGUCUAUCUGGCCCCACAGAGCUCUCUCACGGCUAAAUUCCUACCACGCUCAUGGCCAAGAGGCCCAGGAGAGCCUGAGAGCACUCAUCUAUGACGAAAUCAUCUAUUUCAGUAACUUAUCUACGAUGAAAACACAGACUUUAGACAAGACCAAAAUCAAAAAUGCAGAAAUUAUCUUUCUUGCCUUCCUCUACCUUAGCUUAGAAAAUGUACUCAACAAAUGCUAAAUAGAUAAAACUACAAAAGUAGAGAAAUAGCGAAAGAAAAAAAAACCAGAAGUGAGAAAAAAACAGAGGAAAAGCACCUUUUGUGUAAUUCUUUAAGAGCUUCUUAGGCAAUAACUCCUCUGUUAACAAGGAGGUACUUGCUGCUUUUGCUUUUGUAUAAAUAAAUGUUUGUGUCGUGUUCAGAAACCUGUCUGGAGGCCUGUUUGGCACUUAUUUGAUUCUGCUUUAUACUAUUAAGCAGUCUUGUCUGUGCAUGUGUACUUUAAACAAGACUGAAAACCUUAUAAAAGUAGAGAUUCUGGAGUUCCCAAUGUGGCUCAGCGGAAACAAACCCUACUAGUAUUCAUGAGGUUGUGGGUUCAAUCCCUGGCCUUGCUUAGUGGAUUAAGGGCAUUACCACAAACUGCAGUUAGGUCGCAGAUGCUGCUCAGAUCCAGGAUCCAGUGUUUCUGUGACUGUGCUGUAGGCCACAGCUGCAGCUCCAUCAACCCUAGCCUAGAAACUUCCAUACGCCGUAGAUGUGGCCGUUUAAAAAAAAAACAAAACACUAAUUUAUCAGGGGGGUAAAUGAGACUCAGAGUCUGCAUAAACAAGGGACUCAGGUAGUUUUCAGAUUCCUUUUGCAUCGUCUGUAACGGGCACAUGAAACAAAUAAUCAAAACAGAAGAGGCCAAGACAUGCCUUGUGGAGAGACUGCCUGGGGUCCUGGUUGAAUAUUUAGCAUGGUCUGCUGCUCUAAGCCUCAUGGACAAUCUCUUUCAGUCAAGAUGGAGUCACUGGCCCUUCUUCUGAAUUCAGGAAUUUCAUGGCACAGGUGAUCUUCCUUUCCAAAUGUUCUAUAUUUUCAAGGUUUUACAUGCCCUUUUUUAAAAUACAUGAACAGGGAGUUCCCAUCGUGGCGCAGCAGAAACGAAUCCAACUAGGAACCAUGAGGUUGUAGGUUCGAUCCCUGGCCCUGCUAGGGAUCCCUAGCAGGGGAGUAGGUUCGAUCCCUAGCCUGGGAACCUCCAUAGGCCGCAGGUGCAGCCCUAAAAAAAGACAGAGACAAAAAAAUAAAUAAAUAAACAAUGAAAUAAAAUACAUGAACAGUUGAAGUUUCACCACUGCUUGGGAAACCAGUUGGGAGUAAAAGAGACCUGGAGAAUCAGUCUCAAUUUUUAUGUUCAAAUACAAAAAUUUUAACGCAUACAUUUUAAUCAAGAAAUGGCAAAAGAAAGUCAACUGGAAAUUCAAAUCAUGACCCAACACAUUUAUCCAACACAUAAAUGUGCACCAACAAAAGCAAAACAACAGAAAGGCCUACAGGAUUGGGGCAUUUGCUGGCCAAGAGAGUACAGAAUACAAGGCUUUGGUUCAUCCCCCUCCAGGUCUGCAGCCCAACUAAAGAUUACUAACAUCGCUGGGCAUAUAGAUACAUGGACUAUUACCAUACUUGGUUAAAAAAAUAAAUUCCCAGAAGGAGUAUAAUGAAAUGUUUUACUGAAGCCCACGUCCUCCCUGCCAAAAACAAAAAAUUAGAAAAUUAAAGUUGCUUUAACUGUACUAAAAAUGUUAUUUUCCUUUUAUCUUUUGUGAUCUCUUAUAUCAGAGGGUGGUGUCUUUCAGACCCCUGAGAAACAGAAAUAAGUAUUAAGUGGAAAUGUUUGUAAAUAUACCAGAGACCCAGAGGCCAGACUUCCAAAACAUAAUUCUUUCUUAUUUAACCUGAUUUAAAGGACGGAAUAGAUGUCAACAGUCACCCAACAAGAGAAAAUCAGUUCUGUCAUCUGGGGUUCAUUUCCUUAUUAAAAAUUAAUACAUGAGAGUGAAAACCAAACAGGAUAGAUUCCCCCUGGAUCCCUUAACUCAAAAAGCUCAGCCUCUUCCCCAUUUAACUCAAAGCCUGUACCAUUUUUUAGGGUUUAGUGCUGAUCAAAAAGGGCAGCCUGGCAGCUCGAAAGAAUUCCACUCUCUAUUUAUUUAUCUACCUAAGGGGCCCAGUUUGGAAUACUUGAAUCAUACCAGUUGGAAUAUGAGCCACCCAGAAAUUGAGAAAGAAAAUACAGAGUAAAGCUAAAAUCAAUCCAAUUUCAAGAAGGUCAUUAGUCAACCCCAAUUUUAGGAAAGUUUUGAACAAACAGGCUGGACUAAAAUAGAAUAAAAUUAAAGGGCAAGAAAACAGCUUUCACUUGGGACGCUACCCCCAGAGCAGAGUGCAAGAUAGACCUUCAAUCCCAACUCCUUGGGGGGGGGGGCGGUGGUAAGACUUCUGAUUCAAUGUAAUUUAGGAGAAAGGUUUUCUAGAACACACCCCAGAGAUUUAAAGGGGGCAUGAAACACUGCCCUCUAGUGGCUAGGUCACAGAAGACAAGUUCCAACUGGGACAGAGAGCUCAGUCUGUCACAAUCUGUCCAAGUGGUGAAAUCUUGAGUAACCUAAGAAUCUUUAUUUUUUUUCUGAAGCAGGUUACAGAUGGUAGAACAACUAGUACAAAAGUUAAACUACUCCCAAUACCACCAAUUGGGCUAGAAAAAUAAAAUGGCAAUGUUUAUUCCCUUGCCAAAGGCAAAGAUGCUCAAGAAAAUGAGAAGUGAAAACAAUGUACUUCUUCAUUUGGGGAGAGGCUGUAAAAAAAUCCCUUCCCAUAUGAGUUCCCAUUGUGGCCCAGCAGGUUAAGAACCUGACUAGCAUCCAUGAGGAUGCAGGGUCAAUCCCUGGCUUCACUCAGUAGUUAAGGACCUGGUAUUGCUGCAAGCUGCGACAUUGAUCCCAGAUGCGGCUCAGAUCCAGUGUUGUGGCUGUGGUGUAGCCCUACAACUGCAACUCCUACUCAACCUCUAGCCCAGGAACUUCCAUAUGCCACAAGUGUGGCCCUAUAAAAGAAAAAAAAAAUCCAUUCCUAAAGAAACCAUAAACUUGAAGUGUUCAUUUCUGGUUUAAAAAAAAAAAAAAAAA
RNAcentral lists this long non-coding RNA (7571 nucleotides) under Sus scrofa (pig). Its description in RNAcentral is "lncRNA (ENSSSCG00015060119.1)". The record is from RNAcentral. Lineage: Eukaryota; Metazoa; Chordata; Mammalia; Artiodactyla; Suidae.